RNAcentral lists this long non-coding RNA (5763 nucleotides) under Salmo salar (Atlantic salmon). RNAcentral describes it as "lncRNA (ENSSSAG00000108032.1)". Lineage: Eukaryota; Metazoa; Chordata; Actinopteri; Salmoniformes; Salmonidae. The record is from RNAcentral.
CUGAGAAAACGUAUCCUAUAAAUGCUUAUGAAAUUCCUCUGCAAAUAUGCUGAGUGAACUGGCAACUUUUUGUUUUGUGUGUUUUCCUGAAAAGCCUGUAUCUAGUGCGUGAUGUCUCAUUUUUUAAUGCCGAUUUUUAUUUUUUGGAGGGGGUGUUCAUAAAUCAGAUGCUAAACCAUAGAUUGUACAAUAUAAACAUUGGGAUUGUAGCUACAUCAUGUCCAUGCACAGACUACGGGAGCUGGACAUCUACACAGUGAUUCGACCGGCCCGGAUCAAACUUUAAAAAGGCAGAAGAGACUUCUGAUCUCAGACUGACUCAGACAUGGAGGAAGAGGAGUCAGGACCUCACAGUGGUACCACCGUGACAGCAGCACAACCCGACGGCGCUGUCUCCCUGUGAAUACGACGGGUGCUGUUUCCCUGUGAAUACGACGGGCGCUGUUUCCCUGUGAAUACGACGGGUGCUGUCUCCCUGUGAAUACGACGGGUGCUGUUUCCCUGUGAAUACGACGGGUGCUGUCUCCCUGUGAAUACGACGGGUGCUGUCUCCCUGUGAAUACGACGGGUGCUGUCUCCCUGUGAAUACGACGGGUGCUGUUUCCCUGUGAAUACGACGGGUGCUGUUUCCCUGUGAAUACGACGGGUGCUGUUUCCCUGUGAAUACGACGGGUGCUGUUUCCCUGUGAAUACGACGGGCGCUGUUUCCCUGUGAAUACGACGGGUGCUGUUUCCCUGUGAAUACGACGGGUGCUGUUUCCCUGUGAAUACGACGGGUGCUGUUUCCCUGUGAAUACGACGGGUGCUGUUUCCCUGUGAAUACGACGGGUGCUGUUUCCCUGUGAAUACUGUGCAGGAUGUGGAGGCGAUGGAGCAAAAGUUACUCGACACAGCUUUCCUGAAUGGAGUGGUAGCUGCUAUGAAUGGGAUGUUUAUCAAAAUAUUUAUUGUAGUAUUUUGUUUAUUUAGUCCAUUGUUAAUAUAAUCCCAACAAUCGUGCAUGUUAGCAAAUCAAGUUUUCAAGAUGGAGCACUUUCAGUACAGAGCAAACAGUGAUGAUGACACAAAUGAGAAACAUUAUUAUAAUUAUUAUCAUAUCAUUAGCAUCAUCCCUCUCAUUGGCUCUAUACUGCAGUGUUUCCUGGUCCAGGGGAUCAAAAGGACCUUUGAAUUGAAUAAGGUAUGUGAGUGCUGAGGCAAAAAAACAACAGUGUGCAUCCCUUGGGACCAGGAUUGGGGAACACCGCUGUACUGAAAGUCCAUCUUGAGAACUUCACUGCUGAACAUUUUGGGGGAUUUUAUACAGGGUGAGGAAACUAAGGUGUACGUUUUUUGUAAUUUGAUUGAACUAUCCCUUGAUCUGAAAAAAUGUGGUAUAAAUAAACCUGCUCAGAUCAGGGCUACUGUUUAUGAGAUGAUGAUGAUGAUGAUGAUGAUGAUAGGACCAGAUACUACUUGACACGUGUAAAAGGUCUCCCCUCACCUGGUUGUCUAGGUCUCUCCUCACCUGGUUGUCUAGGUCUCAGUAAGGAACUCCCCUCACCUGGUUGUCCAGGUCUCAGUAAGGAACUCUCCUCACCUGGUUGUCUAGGUCUCUCCUCACCUGGUUGUCUAGGUCUCAGUAAGGAACUCUCCUCACCUGGUUGUCUAGGUCUCAGUAAGGAACUCCCCUCACCUGGUUGUCUAGGUCUCAGUAAGGACCUCUCCUCACCUGGUUGUCUAGGUCUCAGUAAGGAACUCCCCUCACCUGGUCGUCCAGGUCUCAGUAAGGAACUCCCCUCACCUGGUUGUCUAGGUCUCAGUAAGGACCUCUCCUCACCUGGUUGUCUAGGUCUCAGUAAGGAACUCUCCUCACCUGGUUGUCUAGGUCUCAGUAAGGAACUCCCCUCACCUGGUUGUCUAGGUCUCAGUAAGGAACUCUCCUCACCUGGUUGUCUAGGUCUCAGUAAGGAACUCUCCUCACCUGGUUGUCUAGGUCUCAGUAAGGAACUCUCCUCACCUGGUUGUCUAGGUCUCAGUAAGGAACUCUCCUCACCUGGUUGUCUAGGUCUCAGUAAGGACCUCUCCUCACCUGGUUGUCUAGGUCUCUCCUCACCUGGUCGUCUAGGUCUCAGUAUGGAACUCUCCUCACCUGGUUGUCUAGGGCUCAGUAAGGAACUCUCCUCACCUGGUUGUCCAGGUCUCAGUAAGGAACUCCCCUCACCUGGUUGUCUAGGUGUCAGUAAGGAACUCUCCUCACCUGGUUGUCUAGGUCUCCCCUCACCUGGUUGUCUAGGUCUCAGUAAGGAACUCUCCUCACCUGGUUGUCCAGGUCUCAGUAAGGAACUCUCCUCACCUGGUUGUCUAGGUCUCAGUAAGGAACUCCCCUCACCUGGUUGUCUAGGUCUCAGUAAGGAACUCCCCUCACCUGGUUGUCUAGGUCUCAGUAAGGAACUCUCCUCACCUGGUUGUCUAGGUCUCAGUAAGGAACUCCCCUCACCUGGUUGUCUAGGUCUCAGUAAGGAACUCUCCUCACCUGGUUGUCUAGGUCUCAGUAAGGAACGCCCCUCACCUGGUUGUCUAGGUCUCAGUAAGGAACUCUCCUCACCUGGUUGUCUAGGUCUCAGUAAGGAACUCCCCUCACCUGGUUGUCUAGGUCUCAGUAAGGAACUCCCCUCACCUGGUUGUCUAGGUCUCAGUAAGGAACUCCCCUCACCUGGUUGUCUAGGUCUCAGUAAGGAACUCUCCUCACCUGGUCGUCUAGGUCUCAGUAAGGAACUCUCCUCACCUGGUCGUCUAGGUCUCAGUAAGGAACUCUCCUCACCUGGUUGUCUAGGUCUCAGUAAGGAACUCCCCUCACCUGGUUGUCUAGGUCUCAGUAAGGAACUCUCCUCACCUGGUUGUCUAGGUCUCAGUAAGGAACUCCCCUCACCUGGUUGUCUAGGUCUCAGUAAGGACCUCCCCUCACCUGGUUGUCUAGGUCUCAGUAAGGAACUCUCCUCACCUGGUUGUCUAGGUCUCCCCUCACCUGGUUGUCUAGGUCUCAGUAAGGAACUCUCCUCACCUGGUUGUCUAGGUCUCAGUAAGGAACUCUCCUCACCUGGUUGUCUAGGUCUCAGUAAGGAACUCUCCUCACCUGGUUGUCUAGGUCUCAGUAAGGACCUCCCCUCACCUGGUUGUCUAGGUCUCAGUAAGGAACUCUCCUCACCUGGUUGUCUAGGUCUCCCCUCACCUGGUUGUCUAGGUCUCAGUAAGGAACUCUCCUCACCUGGUUGUCUAGGUCUCAGUAAGGAACUCUCCUCACCUGGUUGUCUAGGUCUCAGUAAGGAACUCCCCUCACCUGGUUGUCUAGGUCUCCCCUCACCUGGUUGUCCAGGUCUCAGUAAGGAACUCCCCUCACCUGGUUGUCUAGGUCUCAGUAAGGAACUCCCCUCACCUGGUUGUCCAGGUCUCAGUAAGGAACUCCCCUCACCUGGUUGUCUAGGUCUCCCCUCACCUGUUUGUCUAGGUCUCCCCUCACCUGGUUCUCUAGGUCUCAGUAAGGAACUCCGGUCACCUGGUUGUCUAGGUCUCAGUAAGGAACUCUCCUCACCUGGUUAUCUAGGUGUCAGUAAGGAACUCCCCUCACCUGGUUGUCUAGGUCUCUCCUCACCUGGUUGUCUAGGUCUCAGUAAGGAACUCCCCUCACCUGGUUGUCUAGGUCUCAGUAAGGACCACCCCUCACCUGGUUGUCUAGGUCUCAGUAAGGAACACCCCUCACCUGGUUGUCUAGGUCUCAGUAAGGAACUCCCCUCACCUGGUUGUCUAGGUCUCAGUAAGGAACUCCCCUCACCUGGUUGUCUAGGUCUCAGUAAGGAACUCCCCUCACCUGGUUGUCUAGGUCUCAGUAAGGAACUCCCCUCACCUGGUUGUCUAGGUCUCAGUAAGGAACUCUCCUCACCUGGUUGUCUAGGUCUCAGUAAGGAACUCCCCUCACCUGGUUGUCUAGGUCUCAGUAAGGAACUCUCCUCACCUGGUUGUCUAGGUCUCAGUAAGGAACCCCCCUCACCUGGUUGUCUAGGUCUCAGUAAGGAACUCUCCUCACCUGGUUGUCUAGGUCUCAGUAAGGAACUCCCCUCACCUGGUUGUCUAGGUCUCAGUAAGGAACUCCCCUCACCUGGUUGUCUAGGUCUCUCCUCACCUGGUUGUCUAGGUCUCAGUAAGGAACUCUCCUCACCUGGUUGUCUAGGUCUCAGUAAGGAACUCCCCUCACCUGGUUGUCUAGGUCUCAGUAAGGAACUCCCCUCACCUGGUUGUCUAGGUCUCUCCUCACCUGGUUGUCUAGGUCUCAGUAAGGAACUCUCCUCACCUGGUUGUCUAGGUCUCAGUAAGGAACUCUCCUCACCUGGUUGUCUAGGUCUCAGUAAGGAACUCCCCUCACCUGGUUGUCUAGGUCUCCCCUCACCUGGUUGUCUAGGUCUCAGUAAGGAACUCUCCUCACCUGGUUGUCUAGGUCCCAGUGAGGAACUCUCCUCACCUGGUUGUCUAGGUCUCAGUAAGGAACUCUCCUCACCUGGUUGUCUAGGUCUCCCCUCACCUGGUUGUCUAGGUCUCAGUAAGGAACUCUCCUCACCUGGUUGUCCAGGUCUCAGUAAGGAACUCAGUAAGAGGGGGGGGGGGGCAGUGCCCCUGUGACAACAACUUUGGACCCCCUUGUGGCCCCCCCUAAAUGUGAAGUAUGAAAUAAUUUUUACAUAACACAUUUUUUGCUAUCGUUCUUUUUUUUUUACAUCCGUUAUUAGACAGUGGCAACGCGGAACACUAAUUUAACACAGACAUCUUCUAGAGGGACGGAUUUAGGAUGGAACACAGCAGUAUCGUACCACAUGCAAAACGAUAUGACAACAAUAACGUCUAAUGUAACUGGCCCCCCCUCUAACAGUACAACUGGCCCCUCUAACAGUACAACUGGCCCCUCCCUCUAACAGUACAACUGGCCCCAGCUUGGCCCCCCCUCUAACAGUACAACUGGCCCCAGCUUGGCCCCCCCUCUAACAGUACAGCUGGCCCCCCCCUCUAACAGUACAACUGGCCCCUCUAACAGUACAACUGGCCCCAGCUUGGCCCCCCCUCUAACAGUACAACUGGCCCCUCUAACAGUACAGCUGGCCCCUCCCUCUAACAGUACAACUGGCCCCCUCUAACAGUACAGCUGGCCCCUCCCUCUAACAGUACAACUGGCCCCUCUAACAGUACAACUGGCCCCAGCUUGGCCCCCCCUCUAACAGUACAACUGGCCCCAGCUUGGCCCCCCCUCUAACAGUACAACUGGCCCCCUCUAACAGUACAACUGGCCCCUCUAACAGUACAACUGGCCCCCUCUAACAGUACAACUGGCCCCAGCUUGGCCCCCCCUCUAACAGUACAACUGGCCCCUCUAACAGUACAACUGGCCCCAGCUUGGCCCCCUCCCUAGUUGAAAUGGUCUAGAACGGCCACUGAGUAGACCCUCCAUGGAAUGAGUUUGACACCCUUGCUGUAUGGUAACUAAUUGUCACACAAGCUAAUAAAUAUAAUAAACCUAAUAAUAAUAAUAAUAAUAAUAAUAAAAACCUAAUAAAUGUUUUAUAAUAACCAUCAUCUGUGAGACUAGCUGGGACGUUCUGUAUAAUACCACUUCAAUAUUAUCAAGUCGCUAUCGUCGUCCAUGUACCUUCUGCUGUUUCAUUGAUACUUUGUUGUCUGAUCAAUUCAAUCCGUCAUGUACAUGUAAUUACCAGAAUAAAGGAAACAUCCAAAAAUAAA